GUCGAGCGAACAGACGAGGAGCUUGCUCCUCUGACGUUAGCGGCGGACGGGUGAGUAACACGUGGAUAACCUACCUAUAAGACUGGGAUAACUUCGGGAAACCGGAGCUAAUACCGGAUAAUAUAUUGAACCGCAUGGUUCAAUAGUGAAAGACGGUUUUGCUGUCACUUAUAGAUGGAUCCGCGCCGCAUUAGCUAGUUGGUAAGGUAACGGCUUACCAAGGCAACGAUGCGUAGCCGACCUGAGAGGGUGAUCGGCCACACUGGAACUGAGACACGGUCCAGACUCCUACGGGAGGCAGCAGUAGGGAAUCUUCCGCAAUGGGCGAAAGCCUGACGGAGCAACGCCGCGUGAGUGAUGAAGGUCUUCGGAUCGUAAAACUCUGUUAUUAGGGAAGAACAAAUGUGUAAGUAACUAUGCACGUCUUGACGGUACCUAAUCAGAAAGCCACGGCUAACUACGUGCCAGCAGCCGCGGUAAUACGUAGGUGGCAAGCGUUAUCCGGAAUUAUUGGGCGUAAAGCGCGCGUAGGCGGUUUUUUAAGUCUGAUGUGAAAGCCCACGGCUCAACCGUGGAGGGUCAUUGGAAACUGGAAAACUUGAGUGCAGAAGAGGAAAGUGGAAUUCCAUGUGUAGCGGUGAAAUGCGCAGAGAUAUGGAGGAACACCAGUGGCGAAGGCGACUUUCUGGUCUGUAACUGACGCUGAUGUGCGAAA
Molecule: ribosomal RNA, 715 nt
Filed under: uncultured Staphylococcus sp.
Lineage: Bacteria; Bacillati; Bacillota; Bacilli; Caryophanales; Staphylococcaceae
Description: bacterial SSU rRNA
Rfam family: Bacterial small subunit ribosomal RNA
Source: RNAcentral